RNAcentral lists this unclassified non-coding RNA (427 nucleotides) under plant metagenome. RNAcentral describes it as "partial contains 5.8S ribosomal RNA, internal transcribed spacer 2, and large subunit ribosomal RNA". It matches the Rfam family "Bacterial small subunit ribosomal RNA", at positions 358 to 777 of the family's 1533-position model. The record is from RNAcentral.
GGAAUAUUGCGCAAUGGGGGCAACCCCGACGCAGCCAUGCCGCGUGAAUGAAGAAGGCCUUCGGGUUGUAAAGUUCUUUCGGUAGCGAGGAAGGCAUUUAGUUUAAUAGACUAGGUGAUUGACGUUAACUACAGAAGAAGCACCGGCUAACUCCGUGCCAGCAGCCGCGGUAAUACGGAGGGUGCGAGCGUUAAUCGGAAUAACUGGGCGUAAAGGGCACGCAGGCGGUGACUUAAGUGAGGUGUGAAAGCCCCGGGCUUAACCUGGGAAUUGCAUUUCAUACUGGGUCGCUAGAGUACUUUAGGGAGGGGUAGAAUUCCACGUGUAGCGGUGAAAUGCGUAGAGAUGUGGAGGAAUACCGAAGGCGAAGGCAGCCCCUUGGGAAUGUACUGACGCUCAUGUGCGAAAGCGUGGGGAGCAAACAGGA